ACUAACAAGGAUUCCCCUAGUAACUGCGAGUGAAGCGGGAAAAGCUCAAAUUUAAAAUCUGGCGGUCUUCGGCCGUCCGAGUUGUAGUCUGGAGAAGUGCUUUCCGCGCUGGACCGUGUAUAAGUCUCUUGGAACAGAGCGUCAUAGAGGGUGAGAAUCCCGUCUUUGACACGGACUACCAGUGCUUUGUGAUGCGCUCUCAAAGAGUCGAGUUGUUUGGGAAUGCAGCUCAAAAUGGGUGGUGAAUUCCAUCUAAAGCUAAAUAUUGGCGAGAGACCGAUAGCGAACAAGUACCGUGAGGGAAAGAUGAAAAGCACUUUGGAAAGAGAGUUAAACAGUACGUGAAAUUGCUGAAAGGGAAACGCUUGAAGUCAGUCGCGUCGUCCGGAACUCAGCCUUGCUUUCGCUUGGUGCACUUUCCGGAUGACGGGUCAGCAUCGAUUUUGACCGUCGGAAAAGGGCUGGAGUAAUGUGGCACCUCCGGGUGUGUUAUAGACUCUAGUCGCAUACGGCGGUUGGGAUCGAGGAACGCAGCGCGCCGCAAGGCAGGGGUUCGCCCACUUUCGCGCUUAGGAUGCUGGCAUAAUGGCUUUAAACGACCCGUCUUGAAACACGGACCAAGGAGUCUAACAUACCUGCGAGUGUUUGGGUGGAAAACCCGAGCGCGUAAUGAAAGUGAAAGUUGAGACCUCUGUCGUGGAGGGCAUCGACGCCCGGACCUGACGUUCUCUGAAGGAUCCGCGGUAGAGCAUGUAUGUUGGGACCCGAAAGAUGGUGAACUAUGCCUGAAUAGGGUGAAGCCAGAGGAAACUCUGGUGGAGGCUCGUAGCGAUUCUGACGUGCAAAUCGAUCGUCAAAUUUGGGUAUAGGGGCGAAAGACUAAUCGAACCAUC
Molecule: ribosomal RNA, 893 nt
Filed under: Ganoderma lucidum
Lineage: Eukaryota; Fungi; Basidiomycota; Agaricomycetes; Polyporales; Polyporaceae
Description: partial large subunit ribosomal RNA
Rfam family: Eukaryotic large subunit ribosomal RNA
Source: RNAcentral